AGAGCGAACGCUGGCGGCAGGCCUAACACAUGCAAGUCGAGCGCCCCGCAAGGGGAGCGGCAGACGGGAGAGUAACACGUGGGAACGUACCCUUCAGUUCGGAACAACCCAGGGAAACUUGGGCUAAUACCGAAUACGUCCGUAAGGAGAAAGAUUUAUCGCUGAAGGAUCGGCCCGCGUCUGAUUAGCUUGUUGGUGAGGUAACGGCUCACCAAGGCGACGAUCAGUAGCUGGUCUGAGAGGAUGAUCAGCCUCACUGGGACUGAGACACGGCCCAGACUCCUACGGGAGGCAGCAGUGGGGAAUAUUGGACAAUGGGCGCAAGCCUGAUCCAGCCAUGCCGCGUGGGUGAUGAAGGCCCUAGGGUUGUAAAGCCCGUUUCGGCGGGGAAGAUAAUGACGGUACCCGCAGAAGAAGCCCCGGCUAACUUCGUGCCAGCAGCCGC
This 445-nucleotide ribosomal RNA is filed under the name uncultured bacterium. Its description in RNAcentral is "SSU rRNA". It matches the Rfam family "Bacterial small subunit ribosomal RNA", at positions 26 to 518 of the family's 1533-position model. The record is from RNAcentral.